AGUGAACGCUGGCGGUAGGCCUAACACAUGUAAGUCGAACGGCAGCACAGUAAGAGCUUGCUCUUACGGGUGGCGAGUGGCGGACGGGUGAGGAAUACAUCGGAAUCUACUUUUUCGUGGGGGAUAACGUAGGGAAACUUACGCUAAUACCGCAUACGACCUACGGGUGAAAGCAGGGGAUCUUCGGACCUUGCGCGAUUGAAUGAGCCGAUGUCGGAUUAGCUAGUUGGCGGGGUAAAGGCCCACCAAGGCGACGAUCCGUAGCUGGUCUGAGAGGAUGAUCAGCCACACGGGAACUGAGACACGGUCCAGACUCCUACGGGAGGCAGCAGUGGGGAAUAUUGGACAAAGGGCGCAAGCCUGAUCCAGCCAUACCGCGUGGGUGAAGAAGGCCUUCGGGUUGUAAAGCCCUUUUGUUGGGAAAGAAAAGCAGCAGGUUAAUACCCCGCUGUUCUGACGGUACCAAAAGAAUAAGCACCGGCUAACUUCGUG
Molecule: ribosomal RNA, 492 nt
Filed under: uncultured bacterium
Lineage: Bacteria
Description: partial 16S ribosomal RNA
Rfam family: Bacterial small subunit ribosomal RNA
Source: RNAcentral